This 491-nucleotide ribosomal RNA is filed under the name uncultured bacterium. RNAcentral's name for it is "partial 16S ribosomal RNA". It matches the Rfam family "Bacterial small subunit ribosomal RNA", at positions 29 to 506 of the family's 1533-position model. The record is from RNAcentral.
AGUGAACGCUGGCGGUAGGCCUAACACAUGCAAGUCGAACGGCAGCACAGUAAGAGCUUGCUCUUACGGGUGGCGAGUGGCGGACGGGUGAGGAAUACAUCGGAAUCUACUUUUUCGUGGGGGAUAACGUAGGGAAACUUACGCUAAUACCGCAUACGACCUACGGGUGAAAGCAGGGGAUCUUCGGACCUUGCGCGAUUGAAUGAGCCGAUGUCGGAUUAGCUAGUUGGCGGGGUAAAGGCCCACCAAGGCGACGAUCCGUAGCUGGUCUGAGAGGAUGAUCAGCCACACUGGAACUGAGACACGGUCCAGACUCCUACGGGAGGCAGCAGGGGGGAAUAUUGGACAAGGGGCGAAAGCCUGACCCAGCCAUACCGCGUGGGUGAAGAAGGCCUUCGGGUUGUAAAGCCCUUUUGUGGGGAAAGAAAAGCGGCAGGUUAAUACCCCGCUGUUCUGACGGUACCAAAAGAAUAAGCACCGGCUAACUUCGU